CGAUGGGAGCUGACGUCAGCAGCCUCCGGGGACUCUUCGAGUGGAUUUAGACGGAGCGGAGGGUGAUCGAAAAUCUGUUACUUACUGUUAGAGAUAAAUUUGCCAGUUUAGACAGAGAUAAACUUGCCAGUUUAGACAGAUAGCUGAUUACGCUGAGAUACUAAGUACCCCUGUUGUGUGUGAGAGGUAUCCGCUGUUGCUGUGAAAGUGAAAUGGUAUUCCAGUAUUCCUUACUACAACCUUUUAAUACCCUUGACCAGAUUAUCUCUUCUUUCAUUUGGAACAAAAAGGCUGCCAGGAUCCACAAUGCCUAUCUCCCAAGGCUCUAGCCCACUGUUACACAUGGGGGAGAAGCGAGUCCCCACACAACACAGAUGUUCUGAGGGCAUGUGAGCGUCCUCCGAUCUCACAAGCCUAAAGCCAGAAUCGCCAAGCAAUCGGGAGCAGAGGUGGGCGGGCUACCGAUCCUGGAGAACAGAGAUCAGAAUGUGCUUGGUAUCUGGCUAGUAGGGUUCGCUGUUGCGCGAUGAGGAGAAGGAAUCUCUGCCGUUUUCCCAUCCCCCACCCAGGAAGCGUCAGAGCCAAUGUGCCGCCCUGUGGUCGGGUGCCCCACCCCUGUGCGUAUUUUUGCGUUUUAUGUUUUAUGUGGUGUGUAUGUAUUGAUACACGGAGUGUGGGUUAAGUAGCAUGUGUGAUAUAAAAUGUAUACUUUUUAGUAUUUAUAGUUUUUAGUAUUAAGGCAUGGGGAUAGCACAAAUUAGUUCAUGUGCUGGGAUUCAAGUGAAUGAUUAAUUAGUAAUCCUGGCACAGCUGUAUAUAUAGAUGCAUAAUCACUCACUCGGGGUUGGUGUGUUCAGGGAGAAAGAACAGGAAAGAGAAAAGAAGAAAAAUAAUAAAUAUAACAAUUGCUACUUGUGUGGGUUGUUUAGGUUAGUCUCCUGUUUGUUUGUCUAUUUAUUUUGGCCAACGUGCAGUUUUGUUUGUUUUGUGUUUUGUUUUGUGUUUAAAUCUUUUAUUUAUAACAAACCGGUGCAACAGCACAAUUCACUCACCACUGUGUCCUGCAUUUCCCAUACCUGUCAACUUUUGAAAGUAGAAAAUCAGGAGUGGGGGGAUGGUGCAAUCUGUGAUACCUUUUACUGUCCCCCCAGUAGAGCAGCGGUGGGGGAGUGGGGGAGGGGUGCAAGUGCAUGGCCAAGUAUUUGAACUUGCCUCGCACACUGAAUCCAUGCCUGCCACAGGCUCCCCUGGGUCCUAAACCCUACAGACGGAGAUUGCAGUAACCACCCACCAGCCAUGACUUUUGCAGACAUUAAAGGUUUGCACUUUUCUCACCCCAGUGUGAAAAGUGCCAAAAAUUUAACUCUUCCUCAUAUACAGUAUGUUGGACCAUGGUUCCUAAGCGUUUGGAAUGCUGCCCAAAAUGACUAUGUUAACAGUCUUAGUUUUGUUCUCAAUGUAUAAUAAACAUUGUGCCAUUGUCUGUUUUCUUUGCAUUCACCAACAGUUUAAUUUUAUCAACCAAAAGUGCACUGUAGUGUAUAUUCUCAAUGCCAACCUGAAGGUAGUGUAGAGGGAAUUGUUAUUCUAGCAGACUUAUCUAGAAUGGUUUCAUUGCAAUAUUAUUAUACUGUAUUGCACAACGAAAGUCUAGGAAAGGUCAUUGAUUUAAAAAAAAAAAAAAAAAGUUGAUGUGUUUUAUUCCCUAACUAUAACACUUUAAGCUUUAAAUUGCUUCUGUAUUGUAGCCACAUGAUAAGCCUAUCAAUGAAUAUAUGUGCAUAUAAACUGUCAUUUAGUUAGUAACAUUAAUUUAUUCUCUUGCCCAACAGAUCUGUAAACAGUACGGGUUAUAUAAAUUGCUAAUCCUCUCUUUACUUUGGUUGAGCCAUAGGUUGAUCACAUUCUCGUUGCUUCUUUUCCACUUCAGAGAAGGGCAAUACCACAUUCAAUCUUCUUCACUGGGUUCCUCUAUCAUUAAGAGAAAUGGCAUUUGUCAUCUCAUUGCUCUGGUUGCCCCCUCUUCAUUACACAUAUCAAAUUGAGGUGGUGCAGGUUGAAGGUAUCCAACAGUUGUUUCAAUCACCCAGUACUUCAAUCACCCGGGUCAUUUCUGCCUAAUACACUCAUCUCAGAGAUAUACGUUCUACACCAUAAAGACUUCACCCAUUGUUGUCAAGGGCAACCUCUAAUUUACUUUGUUGUUUACAUUCCCGUAUACAAGUUUUCUAGAUUGAACCAGGAUAAAAGAAAACACAGUGAAAGCAUGGUAAAGUAAAAAUGAGUAUGCAAAAGCAUUGUAAAAGUAAAUCCCUGUAAAGUCAUUGUAUACGUGUGAUACCACCACAGAAAUGUAUCACAGUAAACUGAGGGAUUACUGUAUAAUUUUUUUAUUUGUAUUUUUUUCAUCAAUAAAAUAGCUAUCAGGGGACUUAACUCCAUGCUUUACAGACAAGCAGGCCAUUUCAGACACCGUAUCCUGAAUUAUUGUAUGAAGACAUUGCUCAAUAAUUUAAUUUUGAAGGACUGUUAAUGGUAUGUACAUGUAUUAAAAGACCAUAUGGAGGAGGCUGUGUGGUCCAGUGGUUAAAGAAAGGGUUUGUAACCAGGAGGUCCCCGGUUCAAAUCCCACCUCAGCCACUGACUCAUUGUGUGACCCUGAGCAAGUCACUUAACCUCCUUGUGCUCCAUCUUUCGGGUGAGACGUAGUUGUAAGUGACUCUGCAGCUGAUGCAUAGUUCACACACCCUAGUCUUUGUAAGUCGCCUUGGAUAAAGGCGUCUGCUAAAUAAAUAAAUAACAAAAUAAUAGUAUGAAAUUUCAGCAAGUUGCCCCAUGUUAGAUUGAGGUGAUUGCUUUUUAUAAUAUAAGUUACACAGCGAUGAUUACGUCCUGAAGUCUUUCAACAUUUCUAUCGGUAUAGGUCAUGUAUAAAGUUACAUUAAAAACAAAUUGGGGAAAUUUAAAGGUGACUGGCCUCUGCUGACCUCAAUUUUUUAUGUCUAUUUGUGUAUUUAUCCUUUUUUUCAGUAAGCUUUUGAAGUUGUAAUAGUCAAAAAGUGUCACAUCCUAAACUUUAUUUUACAAAAGCAUAAUGUACAUCAGCUUCACAAAUAGAGCAUUGCAGCAGGUAGAGAUGCAACAAUUCUUCAAUGCAUCGAUUAUUAAUUAUCAGUCCUUAAAUUUCCAGAGCUUCGAUUACACAUUGGUGAAUUGAUGUACCAAAUUAUAGCCCAGUCUGAAGUCUUCCAUUGACUAUGCAGUUAUGCGCUUAUAUUAGUGCUAAUGCGGUAGGUAGCCAAAGUCAGCAUGUUGCUAGGAUACAAACUUUUGGCUUUUGGAUUUGUGUUGAACAAGUCACAUCUGUAAAAAAUAUUUAUAUUCUAUUUACAUUUUAUUUACACAAUCCUGGUUUAAAAAUUAAAAGGGACACAAUUAUUUUAUUUUUUAAAAAAUUGAAAAAUCUUACAUAAAGACUGGUAUUAUGAGGUAAAGGAAAGGGAGGAUGGAAAAGCAAUGUUUACUGGAUUUCAUGUAGAUAGUACAUUAUUUUGACAUAAAAUGUUAACAGUAUUGUUAAUUAACCAGUAUAGUUCAGAUUUCAUUUUUUUUUAAAUUAUUAUCAUUAAUUGAACUCAAGUCCUACAGAUGAAUAAAAAGUGUUCUAAUUUAAAUUUGCCUUGCUGUUUAACUGCUAU
Molecule: long non-coding RNA, 3698 nt
Organism: Acipenser ruthenus (sterlet)
Lineage: Eukaryota; Metazoa; Chordata; Actinopteri; Acipenseriformes; Acipenseridae
Exons: 3
Source: RefSeq, a predicted model, not a curated record